This 223-nucleotide non-coding RNA is filed under the name Lachnoclostridium sp. RNAcentral describes it as "T-box sequence". It matches the Rfam family "T-box leader". From Rfam's summary of the family: Uncharged tRNA acts as the effector for transcription antitermination of genes in the T-box leader family. T-boxes are found upstream of many aminoacyl-tRNA synthetase genes and some amino acid biosynthetic genes usually in Gram-positive bacteria. The anticodon of a specific tRNA base pairs to a specifier sequence within the T-box motif, and the NCCA acceptor tail of the tRNA base pairs to a conserved bulge in the T-box antiterminator hairpin. The record is from RNAcentral. Lineage: Bacteria; Bacillati; Bacillota; Clostridia; Lachnospirales; Lachnospiraceae.
GCAAAUGCGAAGAAGGUGUCAGUAGCAUUCUGUUUUCCGUCAGAGAGGAAGGGCCGUCGGCUGGAAGCCCGUCCGGGUUCAGACAGAAAUGUGAAUUUCCCACCGGAGCAGCAUUCCUGAACGGGGAGUAGGGAAUGACGUUUUCUGCACGUUACGCAGCUUGAGUGUCCGGUGUAAGCCGGGAAUCAGGGUGGUACCACGGAAUAUGAACUUCGUCCCUUUU